UGAUAUCAGGGUCAAAAGCUCCAAAAGCCGUUCGUGCUUGCACGAUUAGGUUUUUGAGCUUAGGACCCGCAAAAACAUGAAGAUACAGCGAUUUUCAAGGAAAAUCAGCGAAUCCGAAUGUUUUUAGAAUUGUGAAAGUUGCAUAGCAACGGAGCAAUUCGUGGAUAUCA
Molecule: small RNA, 170 nt
Organism: Clostridiales bacterium KLE1615
Lineage: Bacteria; Bacillati; Bacillota; Clostridia; Eubacteriales
Rfam family: Clostridiales-1 RNA
Source: Rfam